Molecule: long non-coding RNA, 598 nt
Organism: Astatotilapia calliptera (eastern happy)
Lineage: Eukaryota; Metazoa; Chordata; Actinopteri; Cichliformes; Cichlidae
Source: Ensembl
AAUCAACCUUCUUCUAACCUGAGGAAUUGCUCACACAACCUCUUGAAAUUGCGACCCCACACAGUGCAGUGGUGUAUUUUGUCCGGUGCUGCUGUUCACGUGUGGGCAGUUAGUAUCAUUUACUAAGAAAUGAAAGUGAAACUUCUAUCAAUAAUUAUAAAAAGGCAGGGGGGGAUGCACUGGACAAAAUAUACCACUGCACUGUGGAUAUCUGCGCAUAACUACGGAUACACUCUCUGUAUCAUCUGAAUGUGGACAGAUCAUGGGCUGGGAAGGAAUAUGUAAAUCCUUCAUAUUUUACUGUUUAUGUUAUUAAUUAUUUUUCAUGCAGUGUAAUUUAAUGAAUUUCUUACUCCAUGCGCGAUUUUGUUCACUCUUUGUCUUUCAAGGGAGUCGUUAUAGUCGGAGGUAUGGGAGGUCUGACGGGAGCUGGCAUUGGAGGUGUUGCUGGUGCUGGAGGAACAGUGGGUUGGCUGCUCUCAACCAUUUGUAACCAGACUGGAACACGUUAAGAUUUACACUAUGAACAAAUACCAGAUGUUUAGUCAUGUGACAGAUCUCAAAUGAAGCAUCAUUUUAGAAACGUCAGACACUCAGC